RNAcentral lists this ribosomal RNA (450 nucleotides) under uncultured Alphaproteobacteria bacterium. RNAcentral's name for it is "bacterial SSU rRNA". It matches the Rfam family "Bacterial small subunit ribosomal RNA", at positions 1077 to 1533 of the family's 1533-position model. Lineage: Bacteria; Pseudomonadati; Pseudomonadota; Alphaproteobacteria. The record is from RNAcentral.
UGGGUUAGUCCGCACGAGCGCACCCUAUCGUUAGUUGCCAGCAUUAGUUGGGCACUCUAGCGAGACUGCCGGUGAUAAGCCGGAGGAAGGCGGGGAUGACGUCAAGUCCUCAUGGCCCUUAUGGGCUGGGCUACACACGUGCUACAAUGGCAGUGACAGAGGGACGCUACCAGGUGACUGGAUGCAAAUCUCAAAAAGCUGUCUCAGUUCGGAUUGUUGUCUGCAACUCGACAACAUGAAGUCGGAAUCGCUAGUAAUCGCGUAUCAGCUCGACGCGGUGAAUACGUUCCCGGGCCUUGUACACACCGCCCGUCACACCAUGGGAGUUGGCUUUACCUGAAGCCGGUGCGCUAACCUUAGGGGAGCAGCCGACCACGGUAGGGUCAGCGACUGGGGUGAAGUCGUAACAAGGUAGCCGUAGGGGAACCUGCGGCUGGAUCACCUCCUUUC